UACGUAGGGGGCAAGCGUUGUCCGGAUUUACUGGGCGUAAAGAGCGCGUAGGCGGAAGACCAAGUCUGGCCUGAAAGACCCCGGCUCAACCGGGGAGGGGGGGCUGGAAACUGGUGUUCUUGAGGGCGAUAGAGGAGUGUGGGAAUUCCUGGUGUAGCGGUGAAAUGCGUAGAGAUCAGGAGGAACACCCGUGGCGAAGGCGGCACUCUGGGUCGGCCCUGACGCUGAGGAGCGAAAGCAUGGGGAGCGAACAGG
RNAcentral lists this ribosomal RNA (255 nucleotides) under uncultured bacterium. RNAcentral describes it as "partial 16S ribosomal RNA". It matches the Rfam family "Bacterial small subunit ribosomal RNA", at positions 524 to 776 of the family's 1533-position model. The record is from RNAcentral.